GAUGAACGCUGGCGGCGUGCCUAAUACAUGCAAGUCGAGCGAACGGACGAGAAGCUUGCUUCUCUGAUGUUAGCGGCGGACGGGUGAGUAACACGUGGAUAACCUACCUAUAAGACUGGGAUAACUUCGGGAAACCGGAGCUAAUACCGGAUAAUAUUUUGAACCGCAUGGUUCAAAGGUGAAAGACGGUCUUGCUGUCACUUAUAGAUGGAUCCGCGCUGCAUUAGCUAGUUGGUAAGGUAACGGCUUACCAAGGCAACGAUGCAUAGCCGACCUGAGAGGGUGAUCGGCCACACUGGAACUGAGACACGGUCCAGACUCCUACGGGAGGCAGCAGUAGGGAACCUUCCGCAAUGGGCGAAAGCCUGACGGAGCAACGCCGCGUGAGUGAUGAAGGUCUUCGGAUCGUAAAACUCUGUUAUUAGGGAAGAACAUAUGUGUAAGUAACUGUGCACAUCUUGACGGUACCUAAUCAGAAAGCCACGGCUAACUACGUG
This 497-nucleotide ribosomal RNA is filed under the name uncultured bacterium. RNAcentral's name for it is "partial 16S ribosomal RNA". It matches the Rfam family "Bacterial small subunit ribosomal RNA", at positions 28 to 507 of the family's 1533-position model. The record is from RNAcentral.